Molecule: ribosomal RNA, 884 nt
Filed under: Corynebacterium striatum
Lineage: Bacteria; Bacillati; Actinomycetota; Actinomycetes; Mycobacteriales; Corynebacteriaceae
Description: partial 23S ribosomal RNA
Rfam family: Bacterial large subunit ribosomal RNA
Source: RNAcentral
UGGUGUGGAAACGCCUGCCGUAGAAGGUGAUAGUCCUGUAGCUGAAGAUGAUGGUGUGUGGGUUGUUGGGUUGCCCGAGUAGCAGCGGGCUCGUGGAAUCUGCUGUGAAUCUGCCGGGACCACCCGGUAAGCCUAAAUACUCAGUGUGACCGAUAGUGGAUAGUACCGUGAGGGAAUGGUGAAAAGUACCCCGGGAGGGGAGUGAAAUAGUUCCUGAAACCAUGUGCUUACAAUCCGUCAGAGCACCAUAUGUUGUGUGAUGGCGUGCCUUUUGAAGAAUGAGCCUGCGAGUCAGCGGCAUGUCGCGAGGUUAACCCGUGUGGGGUAGCCGUAGGGAAACCGAAUCCUAAUGGGGUGUUUAGUGGCAUGUCCUGGACCCGAAGCGGGGUGAUCUACCCAUGGCCAGUGUGAAGCAGCAGUAAGAUGCUGUGGAGGCGCGAACCCACGUAGGUUGAAAACUGCGGGGAUGAGCUGUGGGUAGGGGUGAAAGGCCAAUCAAACUCCGUGAUAGCUGGUUCUCCCCGAAAUGCAUUUAGGUGCAGCGUCGCAUUAGCUUGGUGGAGGUAGAGCUACUGGUUGGUUGAGCGGGACUACAAUCUUAGCAAUGUCAGCCAAACUCCGAAUGCCAUUAAUGUGUUGUGCGGCAGUGAGACUGUGGGGGAUAAGCUUCAUAGUCGAGAGGGAAACAGCCCAGAUCGCCGGUUAAGGCCCCUAAGGGUGUGCUAAGUGGAAAAGGAUGUGGGAUCGCGAAGACAGCCAGGAGGUUGGCUUAGAAGCAGCCAUCCUUGAAAGAGUGCGUAAUAGCUCACUGGUCGAGUGGUUCUGCGCCGACAAUGUAGUGGGGCUCAAGCACACCGCCGAAGCCGCGGCAAUAAUAUUUUGUU